UCCCUGGUGGCUCAGAUGGUAAAGAAUCUGCCUGCAAAGCAGGAGACCCAGGUUCGAUCCCUGGCUCAGGAA
Molecule: transfer RNA, 72 nt
Filed under: Ovis aries (sheep)
Lineage: Eukaryota; Metazoa; Chordata; Mammalia; Artiodactyla; Bovidae
Rfam family: tRNA
About the family: Transfer RNA (tRNA) molecules are approximately 80 nucleotides in length. Their secondary structure includes four short double-helical elements and three loops (D, anti-codon, and T loops).
Source: Rfam by way of RNAcentral